Molecule: ribosomal RNA, 484 nt
Filed under: uncultured bacterium
Lineage: Bacteria
Description: partial 16S ribosomal RNA
Rfam family: Bacterial small subunit ribosomal RNA
Source: RNAcentral
AUUGAACGCUGGCGGCAGGCCUAACACAUGCAAGUCGAGCGGAUGAAGGGAGCUUGCUCCUGGAUUCAGCGGCGGACGGGUGAGUAAUGCCUAGGAAUCUGCCUGGUAGUGGGGGAUAACGUCCGGAAACGGGCGCUAAUACCGCAUACGUCCUGAGGGAGAAAGUGGGGGAUCUUCGGACCUCACGCUAUCAGAUGAGCCUAGGUCGGAUUAGCUAGUUGGUGGGGUAAAGGCCUACCAAGGCGACGAUCCGUAACUGGUCUGAGAGGAUGAUCAGUCACACUGGAAAUGAGACACGGUCCCGACUCCUACGGGAGGCAGCAGUGGGGAAUAUUGGACAAUGGGCGAAAGCGUGAUACAGCCAUGCCGCGUGUGUGAAGAAGAUCUUCGGAUUGUAAAGCUCUUUAAGUUGGGAGAAAGGGCAGUAAGUUAAUACCUUGCUGUUUUGACGUUACCAACAGAAUACGCACCGGCUAACUUCGUG